RNAcentral lists this transfer RNA (73 nucleotides) under Stegodyphus mimosarum. It matches the Rfam family "tRNA". From Rfam's summary of the family: Transfer RNA (tRNA) molecules are approximately 80 nucleotides in length. Their secondary structure includes four short double-helical elements and three loops (D, anti-codon, and T loops). Lineage: Eukaryota; Metazoa; Arthropoda; Arachnida; Araneae; Eresidae. The record is from Rfam by way of RNAcentral.
GCCUUUGUGGUGUAGUGGUCAGCAUGCUUGUCGCAUAUUCAAGAGGUCCAUGGUUCGAGUCCCAGCAAGGGCA